GCCGACGUGGCGGAAUUGGCAGACGCGCUGGACUCAAAAUCCAGUUCACGCAAGUGAGUGUGGGUUCGAUCCCCUCCGUCGGCA
RNAcentral lists this transfer RNA (84 nucleotides) under Verrucomicrobiota bacterium. RNAcentral describes it as "Verrucomicrobia bacterium (rhizosphere metagenome) tRNA-Leu". It matches the Rfam family "tRNA". Rfam says of the family: Transfer RNA (tRNA) molecules are approximately 80 nucleotides in length. Their secondary structure includes four short double-helical elements and three loops (D, anti-codon, and T loops). Lineage: Bacteria; Pseudomonadati; Verrucomicrobiota. RNAcentral also lists the same sequence under 2 other names. The record is from RNAcentral.